GUAACCCAAGUCUAGUCCAUGCACAAAGCAUCCUUGCUAUAUGGGCUGUCCAAGUUAUCUUAAUGGGUGCUGUUGAGGGUUACCGUAUUGCUGGUGGACCUCUCGGUGAGGUGGUUGACCCACUCUACCCAGGUGGCAGCUUUGACCCCUUGGGCCUUGCCGAAGAUCCCGAGGCUUUUGCAGAGUUGAAGGUGAAAGAACUAAAAAAUGGUAGGUUAGCUAUGUUCUCUAUGUUUGGAUUUUUCGUUCAAGCCAUUGUGACUGGAAAGGGACCUAUCGAGAACCUCGCCGACCACCUUGCUGACCCGGUUAACAACAAUGCUUGGGCCUACGCCACAAACUUUGCCCCCGGAAAAUAAGCAAUAACUACACCAAAUGAGAAGUGAAUGACUUGAAUAUCGAAGUUUGAAUUUGUUAGUGUGUUAUAUUUUGUAAAACGCAUGGCAUGUUACAUCUUUUUUUCCCCUAAGUUUGUACAUAUUAAGUGAAUGAAAUGAAUGGUUUUACCGAAACAAGGGAGAGUGAAAUGACUGUGAAUGGUAUCAAGCAAUCUAUUACCAGAACAUCAAGUGUAACGAUGUCCUUUCAAAAAAAAAUAAAAAAAAAUCAAGUGUAACGAUGUUUUAAACCAGUGAAGUUUUUAUCAUAUUAACUUUUCAUAUUUUAUAAUUAUAUUUUAUUUUAAAGAGGAGCCUACACAACGGUAAAAGUUGAUUAAAAAUGUCACGAGUUCAAGUUCUGAAAAUAGUCUCUUGUGUAAAAAUAGAAUAAGACUGUGUGCAAUACACCAGAUGGUGAGACCCUUUCUCGGACUCUACGUAUGUGGUUGCCUUGUGCACCAGACUGUUUCUUUGUUUGCUACAAUUAUAUUUUAUUUUGUUAACCUUUUACAUGCCAUAUAUCUUUAGCUCAAUAUGAGAUCUUGUAAUGCCGUUUGAGCUGAAUUAUGGUUUCCCCGUAUGGAAAUCACCCAAGAUCUAAAUCAUAGCAAGUAGGAAUUUGAGAUGGACUCCAAAGUUGAUAUUGAUAUGGUUAAUUUAAAUCCUACCGAAUUGCUUUUAUUCAACAUUUCCUACAUGAGAUCGUUGCUAUUCUGAACCUCCCUUCAAGGAGAAGUUUCAUCUGUUAUAUUUAUAAAGAAACAAAUAAAUAUGUAGAUCUCCUAUGCUAAUAAGAGGCACACUACAAGAGUUGGUGUACAUUAUGUUUUUCUCAUGCUCAGAUUUUGAUGUAGACAAGUUGGCAGCGCGAAUCGAAGACGAAGUGGCGCGUAAGAAAGGUUUAGUCGGAUUGGUGCUGAUUUAGCAUCCGACGUCGGAAUAACAUGAAUUAAACCUUUUUGAAAAGCCCCGGACCUCACGAGCAAUACUCAUCGCUUUGUCAUGAUGUAGGAGUUAAUUUAAUCAUUCGAGGUCGUCUGAAGGCCCGAAAACCGCGUUUUAAUACUUCAGCAUAUUCUAGAACUUUAUAUUUUAUUUCGUUUUGUUAUUUUUCAGCAUAUACGGGUUUGUUAUUUCAUUUAGUAUUUAAACAGAACUUAUGUAGCCAAAGAGGCACUUUUCAUUCAAUAAAAAUAUUCGAGACUUUUCUCUCAAUUCUGGUGGAUUUUGGAAACUCUUAUUUGAUAGGUUUAUCGCUUACAACCUGUUGUUAUCUUUUAAGUUUAGCGUUUGCUAACCCUUGCUUCCAUUUUGCGUCAGAUUUUUGUUACUAUAUGAUGCCAAAGGUGGCUGUAUCUCUAAUAAGCUUUCGUAGUUUAAUUUCCUUUCCUAUCAAAUAAUAAAAAAUGUAACGAUCACCAAUAAACCAUGAAUGAAUAGAGCAAUUCUUGCUUGGGCACAACCACAAAUAUAAAUAAUUUAGACACACACAUAAAAAAAAACAGACACCCACACACACGCGCAUAUAUAUAUAUCAUUGAUUAUUUUCAAAAAUAUAUUAUUUUAUUGAUUUUUCUUUUAUAUGUUUUCACUUAUGUGUGUCCAAAUCAAAAUGAUAUGGGGUUAUGAUGGGUAUUUGUAUUGGCUGCAUUAUUGCUAAUACAAAUAUCCAUGUUUGUGAUGUUCGAUACUAUGUUCCAAUAUGUAUAUUAAUAAUUCUAAUAAUAUGCAAUAAAAGUAAUGUAUAUUAAAAAAUUACAUUGUACUAAUAUGUAUAUUCUAUGAUUGUUUCAUCUCCUAUUUGAUUACACAACCCAAUUAUCACAAUCUUCAUAGCAGAAAAGACAGUUUAAGUGAAUUGAGUACCAGAAGCUCGUCAUGAUCAAGAGAGCGUUGAGUGUACAUGCAAAUUAUCCACCGACAAGGUUCUUACAUUGGCAACAUAAGUUAAACUUAGGUUCUUAUGGUUUGUGAAUCAACUCCUAGACCAAUCGACAUCGACAAUUUUUUUAGUCGUUUAGAAUCAUAUAAAUUUUCAAUUUAAUUUGAUUAGUAAAAAAUAAAUAAUUGUAUGUAUAAGCAAUGACAUAUUAUUAUUUAAAUUUUAAAGCAUGCUUACCAAAUAAAUAUAAAAAAGAUCAUGCAUAUUUGUAACAACUUUCCAAAGAUACAAUCAAAUGAUGUGUUAGUCUACUGGAUAUAUUACUUUUAAGGGUUAAAUAUGUUUUUAGUCUCUAUAAAUAUACCAACUUUUCCUUUUAGUCAUUCUAAAAUUUUCGUUCAACUUUUAGUCCCUAUAAAAUUUUCAAUCACUACUUAUAGUCCCUAUUUUUAAAUUAAUUUUAGUAUUUUUUAAUGAAAUUGUGCAGAAAUGUGUAGAAUAUUGUAAAAAUAUUUCCCAAAAAAAUUAGAAUUUUUUAACGAAACAUAAAUUUAAUAUGAAUUUUUAACCAUCAAAAAUAUAAAAAUUCAUAAUAAAUUCAUGUUUUGUUGAAAAAUUCUAAAUUUUUUUAGGAGAGAUACUUAAAAUAUUAUGAAUUUUUCUGCAAACUUUUAUUCAAAAAUGUGAAUUCUACAUAUGAAUUUACUUUAAAAGAGGGACCACAAGUGAAGAUGGAAAAUUUUUGGAGGACUAAAAGUUGAAGGAAAAUUUUAGAGGGACUAAAACGAAAAGUUGGUAUAUUUAUAGGGACCAAAAACAUAUUUAACCUUACUUUUAAUAAUGACAUGGGGGAUCCCUUUCAUUUUUGUUCUAAUAAUAGUAACAAUAAUAUGUUAUAAUAGCAGAAAAAACAAAAACAAAGUAACAUUGCACCACGUUUUGACGGUAGAUUGAAAAUGCAGGUUCAAAGAGAAAUAUUGAGAAAUCACUUGAACCCCCUCACACAAGAGUGGCUUCGCCACUGAUCACAGUGGCUGUGAUUGGUUGUAGGAUAGUGAGAUGAGAUCUUAGAUCUAGAAGUUCUUAGGUUGAAAUCAAUACGGGUAGGUCCUAGGUCUUAAGUGUAAACGAGGAUUUUGCUGAGAGCUUUAGAAUAAGAACUACACUAGUGGAUUACUUUCCUAACUUGGUAGCCCCAGAUGUAGGUGAGUUGUGCCGAACUGAGUUAACAAACUCUUCUUUACUUUCUUGUCUUUUAUUUUGCUGUUUUGUUUAUGUUUACUUCUAGCACGAUGUUGGAACAUUAAACGGAACAUGUGCUUUCUGUGCAUCUCGAGUUGAAACUUCACAUAGAACAACUUCUAACUGACACGCUAAAUAUUCAGCAUCCGUUAUAUUUGCCGGGAAUUUCAAGUUAUGACCAAACAAGUCUUACUCGAAUGAAUAAGGAUCACACCAAUCAGAAAAAUAAUAUAAUAAAGACAAACAACAAUUAAGACAAAAAAAAGACAAACAACAAUAUCUUAAUAAAAUUAGAUGUUGAUAUUAUGCUAUUUGAAGGACGAGUUUGAACUUUAUUUUAGAAAAUGUGGAAGGUCCAGUAAAUAAAUAUAUCAUGAAAGGUGGAUAUAAAAUAUCUCUGUGAGCUUGAUUCUCUUGGUAGUGAUAUUAUAUAUUAUAUGCAGAGUCAUCGAACCUCGGACACCCUGGUCACUUCUCCACAUUUAAAAUGUAUGAGCUCCGGUCACUAUACUAUUUGACAAAAAAAAAUAAUGCUUGAAAAAUUUAUUAGAAUGUUUACCACUUCAGCCCACAUUAAGUUCAAUCUAGUUAACCAAAAAAAUAUAAAUAUUCUUGAAGCAUGUUAAAAUCAUGUGAUACAAAUCAAUUUGAUUAUAUCAAGAUGAUGUUGAGAUAAUUUAUAUUAACACGACUCGCCUAUUAGCAAAAAUAUUUUGGUUUCGAUUUAUACAAUCGUCCAUUUGAGAGAUGGUUCGACUCUCAAGACAAAAAGUAAGAUAGCUUGCAACGAACUUGGUAAGUAGUCAUGUAGCGCUUUCAAAUGCGGGUGGUAUCCAUUGGAGAGCCAAAUACUUUUGUUAUAGUAACAUCACUGCGGAUUUUAUUAGUCAUAUACAUGGAUUUAAUUAUUUAUCUUGUUAUUUUUAAACAUAUAAUAAGAUCAGUUUAUUUAAAUUUAUUUCUUUAUCUCAUUAUUUUCAUUUUUAUUUUACAAGACAUAUUUCACAAUGCACUAAAGCAAAAUCUCAAUAUACUUUUUCACAUUGCAUGCAUUGCAACUAAAUUUUUGCACAUGAUAAAAAAAUAGAGUGAAACUACUUGAUUAGUUAGCUAAAACAAGAGAGCAUCUAUUGAAUGUUUUAUUUUGCAUUUCUUCCCACAUCCUUUUGUGUCCAUUUUGCAUUGCUUCCAAAAAUAAACGGUAAAAUAUGGUAUAAUGACAUAAUUUUAGGAUAAAUGUUUUUUUAUCUAUUGAGCCAAAGAAAAAAGAAAUAUUCUUUGUCCUUUUGAUGCAACACAAAUUAACUAGCAAUGGUACCAAUAUGCACUAUGGUCCCUCUUCUUCAACUCAUGAUUUUAUACCGUUAUGUAUGAAUUUGUACAUUAUUGAUUAGCCUAUCCAGAAAUCUAAUUUGACAAAUUUUAUUGGAUGGAAGACGUAUUUAAUGAUAUUAUCAUUACAUACUUUGGAUAUUUGAUAUAUUUUAUAAUGAAAGAAAAUAAUAUCUUAAAGAUAUGUGGUUUGAGAAAUAAAGGAAAUACUACAAACCAAUAGAAACUUAGAUAUGGAUUUCACAAGAUAUAGACCUUUAGUUUUACUCGAUGAUAACCAAAUAUAAAUAGCCAUAUAACCAAAUUUGAUAACCAUUCUCAACAUUGCCAAUUGAGCUUCAUUACUUUACUUAGUAAGCAAAAAAAUACCACAAUGGCUGCUUCAACAAUGUCCCUCUCUUCUUCAUCAUUUGUCGGGAAGGCAAUCAAACUUUCCCCAUCCACUCAAGACAUUGGGGUGGGAAGAGUCACAAUGAGGAAAACAACCACCAAGAAGUCCGUUCCGUCUGGAAGCCCAUGGUACGGUCCAGACCGUGUGAAGUACUUGGGCCCAUUCUCCGGUGAAGCCCCAUCCUACCUCACAGGUGAAUUCCCUGGUGACUACGGUUGGGACACUGCUGGACUUUCUGCUGACCCAGAGACAUUUGCCAAGAACCGUGAACUCGAGGUCAUCCACAGUAGAUGGGCUAUGUUGGGUGCCUUGGGAUGUGUCUUCCCUGAGCUCUUAUCUCGCAAUGGUGUACAAUUCGGUGAGGCCGUGUGGUUCAAGGCAGGAUCCCAAAUCUUUAGUGAGGGUGGACUUGACUACUUGGGUAACCCAAGUCUAGUCCAUGCACAAAGCAUCCUUGCUAUAUGGGCAGUCCAAGUUAUCUUAAUGGGCGCCGUGGAGGGUUACCGUAUUGCUGGUGGACCUCUAGGCGAGGUAGUCGAUCCACUCUACCCAGGUGGCAGCUUUGACCCCUUGGGCCUUGCCGAAGAUCCCGAGGCUUUUGCAGAGUUGAAGGUGAAAGAACUAAAAAAUGGUAGGUUAGCUAUGUUCUCUAUGUUUGGAUUCUUCGUUCAGGCCAUUGUCACCGGAAAGGGACCUAUUGAGAACCUCGCUGACCACCUUGCUGAUCCAGUUAACAACAAUGCUUGGGCCUAUGCCACAAACUUUGCCCCUGGAAAAUAAGCAAUAACUACACCAAAUGAGAAGUAGUGAAUGACUUGAAUAUCAAACUUUGAAUUUGUUAUUGUGUUAUAUGUUGAAAAACGUAUGGCGCAUUACAUCUUUUUUUCUUCUUCCUAAGUUUGUACAAAUUAUGUGAAUGAAAUGAAUGGUUUUACUAAAACAAGGGAGAGAGCAAUGAAUGUGAACGGUGAUCAUGCAAGCUAUAUAUCAACACUUUGUCAAUUAUAAUGAAUUACCAAACUAUUGUGUAAUUGAUUCUUCAUAAAUUAAUUAAGUGAAUGAAAUGAAUGGUUUCUUUGUUUUUUGUUUCCCUCACGUUGUCUUCUAAAACCACUUAUGAAUUCGAAACUAACAAAAUAAAGUAACAUCAUAUUGUGGGUUCCAUGUUUGGCAAUCACCCAAGAUAUAAAUCUUAAUAAGGUGGAAUUUGCAAUGCACUCCAUAGUUGGUGUUGAUAUAGUGCCAGAGGUGGUUGUACGAUCUAAGCUGAUUUCAUAGUUUAAUUUCUUUUCCUAUAAAAAAAUUGUAAGGAUCACCAGUAACCCAUGAAUGAAUUGAGCAACACUCUUUGGUCACAUACACAAAAAACUUGACCUUCAAUGACAAUAAAGUUUUGUAGGUAAAAGUCCUUAUACCGUAGGUAUAGCCCACAUACCUAAAACUUUACUUUUAAUGACAGUAAAUUUCUUUAGGUUAAAAUCUUUUUACCGUAUGUAUAGUCCCAAGUACCUAUACCCACAUAUUUUUAAGUUAAAAUUAAGCUCUAUUCCUAUAUCUAAAAUCCUAGGUAAAACAAAAGGUUUUGUUUAACAAGUAAAAUCUGUCACUUUUAGACUAUAGCGACGACCAAAAAUAUGUGGGUUUAAGUACUUGCGGUUAUACCUACGAUAAAAGGACAAUUAACUACGAAAAUUACCGUUACUAAAAUUACUAUCACUUUAGACUUAGUUUAUUUUCUUUUUUCUUUUUUCCCUUAUGUGUGCCCAAAUACAAAUGAUCAGGAUUUCGACCAAACAAGUUUUACUCGAAUGGUUAAGGAUCACCAAUCUUCGAACACAAAAUAUAAUAAUAAAGUCAAACAACAAUAUUUUGAUAUGCUAUUUGAAGGGCGAGUUUGAAUUUUAUGUUAGAAAAUGUGAAAGGUCCAUUAAAAAUGGAAAUCAUGGAAGGUAUCUAUAAAUAAAUGCUUGAAAAAUCUAUUAGAAUGUUCACCGGUUCAACCCAAAUAACUUUUAAUCUAUUUAACAAAAUAAAAUAUAAAUAUUCUUAAAGCGAGUUAAAAUUAGGUGAUACAAAUCUAUUUUAAAAUGUCAAGAUGAUGUUGAGUGAAUUAAUAUUAACUGACUCGCUGACUCGCUUUAAGAAUAUCUCGGUUUUGAUUUAUAAAAUCAUCCAUAUAAGGGAUAGUUCAACUCUUUAGACAAAAAAUAAGAUAGCUUGCAACGAACUUGGUAAUUAGUCUCAUAGCGCAUCCAAAUGUCGUAACUCAUAAGGUCACCAAGAUACAUGCAAAGUUCAUUGGAGAGCCAAAUACUUUUGUGAUAGUGAAUUGGCAAAAAAUUCAAGUCUAAUGUAUCAGUAUAUACUUAUUUUUAAAUCUCAAGAUAAUUUUUCACAUUGCAAAACAAAGAGCGUGGAUUAGAUGGUUAUAGCUUCCAACAUCCUUGUGUGUCUAUUUUGCAUUGCUUCCAAACAUAAACUGUAGAAUAUGGUAUAAUGACAUUUAGUAAAAAAAAUGGUAUAAUGACAUAAAAUUAGGAUAAAUGUGUUUUUAUCCAUGGAGCCAAAAAAGAAAUAUUCUUUGUCCAUUUGAUGCAACACACACCACAAAUUAACUAGCAAUGGGACCAAUAUGUAAUGUGGUCCCUCUUCUACAACAUAUAAUUAUAUACCGUUAUAUGCAUGAAUUUGUACGUUAUUGAUCAUCCUAUCCAGAAAUUACAAUUGGCAAACUCUUAUUGGAUGAAAAAGAUAUUUAAUGAUAUUAUUAUAUAUUAUUGUGGAUAUUUGAUAUGUUUGGGAAAGGAAGAAAAUAAUUUUUAAAGUGAUAUGUGGUUUGAGAAGCAACUGUAAUGCUCAAAACCAAUAGAAAGUUAGAUACAUAGAUUUCAUAAGAUAUGGACAUUUAAUUUAUCUUGUUGAAAACAACAUAUAAAUAACACCAUACCAUAACACAUUCAAUAUAGCCAUCAUCAACAUUGCCAAUAAAGAUAUUUAUUUGUUUACUUAGUAAACACUAAAAUUCUACCAUGGCUGCUUCAACAAUGUCUCUCUCUUCUUCAUCAUUGGUUGGGAAGGCAAUCAAGCUUUCCCCCUCUACUCCAGACCUUGUCAUGGGAAGAAUUACCAUGAGGAAAACAACCACCAAGAAGAAUGUUCCUUCUGGAAGCCCAUGGUACGGUCCAGACCGUGUCAAGUACUUGGGUCCAUUCUCUGGUGAAGCUCCAUCUUACCUUACUGGUGAAUUUCCCGGUGACUAUGGAUGGGACACUGCUGGACUUUCUGCUGAUCCGGAGACCUUCUCUAAAAACCGUGAACUAGAGGUCAUUCACAGUAGGUGGGCUAUGUUGGGAGCCUUGGGAUGUGUCUUCCCUGAGCUCUUGGCUCGCAAUGGUGUUAAAUUCGGUGAGGCCGUGUGGUUCAAGGCAGGAUCUCAAAUCUUUAGUGAGGGUGGACUUGACUACUUGGGAAAUCCAAGUCUAGUCCAUGCACAAAGCAUCCUUGCUAUAUGGGCUGUCCAAGUUAUCUUAAUGGGUGCUGUUGAGGGUUAUCGUAUUGCAGGUGGACCUCUCGGUGAGGUUGUCGACCCACUCUACCCAGGUGGUAGUUUUGACCCAUUAGGCCUAGCUGAUGACCCAGAGGCUUUUGCAGAGUUAAAGGUGAAAGAACUCAAAAAUGGAAGGUUAGCUAUGUUUUCCAUGUUUGGAUUCUUUGUUCAAGCUAUUGUAACCGGAAAAGGACCUAUAGAGAAUCUUGCUGACCACCUUGCUGACCCAGUUAACAACAAUGCAUGGGCCUAUGCCACAAACUUUGCCCCUGGAAAGUGAGCCAAAACUACACCAUACCAAUGAGAAGUGAUUUCUGAAGCAAACAAUGAGAAUUCAUAUGCUUUGAGAAACAUAUGGUGCAUUUAGAUUUUUUUAAUUCUUUCAAGUUUGUACUUUUUAAGAGAGUGAAAUGAAUGUGAUUAUGUGAAUGAUGAUCAUGCAUAUUAUCAACACUGUAGCAGACCUAAUGAAAUGCCAAAGUAUUGUGCAGUUGAUUCUUCCAAAAUUCUAAGUCACUUGUGAUUGCAUCUAUUAUUGUCUGCAUUAUUGAUAAGUAUAAGAAAUCAAUUGUAAUUUUUCAAUCAAAUAAUAGGUGUAUCAAUGUAAAUAUAAAAUAAAAAAAUGUCUAAUUUAGUUUUAGUUUUUGUGUGUGUAGAAUAUAGAGACAGUAAGUGAUUUUAAAAAUGCUAUAACUUUUGCUAAAAACACUGCCAUUCAAUAUAAAAUCUAGAUUUCUUUAAAAAUGAAACAUUUCAAUAUUUUUUUUUUUUACCAUGUUAUAAGUACGAAAGUGAUUAAUCUCUAAAGGUUGUCAAAAUCGGGACUUUACUUCAGGUCGAAAAGGGAAUAGCAAAAUCAGGACUCGUAAAAUCGCAAUCAAAAUCGUAGGAAUUUACUCAACUACUCUUGUAGAAUAGAUAUAAGAAAUUGUAAAAUCGCAAUCAAAAUCGAUGAGUUUUACCAAAACAAAAAUAAUGCUAAAAACAUAGACCAAAACAUAAAUGACUCAGAUUAAAGUCCACAAAAUACUUAAACAUAAAUGACUAAAAAAAUGGAAAAAAUUCUUCAAAACCCUUUAACAUCAUGCAAUUUUGUUUGAAAUCUUAAAAUCGCGAUGGAUUUGAGUCGUUGAAGGUGAAGAAAGUCGCGAAAUUCUGGAUUUUAGAAUUUAAGUCGGAAUUUUGAAAACACCAAAAAUACAUAAGAUAUGUUCUCUCUUUUCAUCCGAAUUUUCUCUAUCGAACUUGUGAGCACUUGUUUAAAGAGUCCAAAAUUCUUACAAUUUGAAUCAAUCCACUACUAGUAAUAUUUGUUUCUUAUACAUAUCAACCAAUUACUUCAUUUUAAGAGAACUUGGUUUACAAUGUGGGAAGGAAUUUCCUAGACACAACAAAUCAUGAGUACAAAGCUUCCCAAUUCUUCUUGAAUAAGUUUUUUGAGCGGUGGAAAACUUAUGUUAAAGACUUGAUAUUUUUCAAAUGCAUGCAUGUUUUGCUCAUAUAAUAAUGUUACAAUUUUCAUAGUUGUUGUAUAUAUAAAGUAGUUUUUCAAAACUUAAAUUUAUAAAAUUUAAUAAAGAUCAACAUUGUGUCAAUAAAAAUUAAAUAUCAAUUACUUUAAAACUAGUCUUGGAAUUAUUUUAGGUCUCAAUUGAUAUUUAGGUUGGCCCUGGCAUCUCUAUUAACCGAUGAUGUGAAUAAUUAAUUGCAUAAUGUGGCCGUGAUUGAAUUCUCUCAAGUGUGAAUUUGAGUAAAGUGUGAUCUCUAAUCAUCCAUAUUUCUAAUAUCUUAAUUUUUCAUGUGUUUCUCUCUAACAAGAUAUCAUACUUGACAUCUUUUGUGAAAAUCACCUAGGAGAGGAUCCAUUUUCAAUGUGACAUUGCAGCUUAAAAAUGUCUGAAAUUAGUUAUGUCUACCACUCAAGAUAUAUAUUCUGUUAUAGUUGAGUCAGUUUAGAACGAGCCGGAUUGGUCAGUUCAAUUGGUUGAACCGAAAACUAAAUUGAAUCGUGCUUCGAUUGCAGUUGGCUCAACCAGUUCAACUGAUCGAUUGAACCAAUUUAACCAUGACUUGAGAGAAUCACAUGGUUGACUUUCAUUUCGGUUUUUAAAUUAUUGAGUUGAAUUUUGGCUGCUGUUAACUAGUAACUCCAUUUAUUUAUUUUUUUACUUAGUUAUAAUAAAAAAAAAAAAUAACUCAGGCAUUACAUAAAAUUUAAAUUAAGUUUUCACAAGACAGUUUAGCAAAGCAAAAUUAUUAGAUAUCCUUAUCAGUAGAAAGUACAAUAGCUAACUACGUACGGACAUGUGUAUUUUGCAGUGAUUACAAUAAAUACAUAAGUAGAAUAAAUUUGUUUUGUUCAUUUGAUGCAAACAGAAGAAACUAUUAAUGGGACCAGUGCACUGUGUGGUCCCUUUUCUGUAAAUCUAUUGAUUAUUAUCCCAUCAAGUAAUCAUAAAUGACAAUUUCUUAUUGGAUGGAACAAGUUUUUCAUGAUAUUCAAUUGUCAUAUUCUGGAUAUUUGAUAUUUUUUGAAAUAAUAAUUCUGAAGAGAAAUAUAUGUGGUUUGAGAUGUAAGUGUAAUGCUCCAAACCAAUAGAAAAUCAAGAUAUAGAUUUCAUAAGAUAUGGACCUCUAGUUUUUCUUGAUGAAUUAACAUAUAAAUAGUACCACUAGGACAUAACAAAGCAUCAUCAAUAACCAUCCUCUUCAUUUUCAAUAGAGCUAUUUAUUUGCAUUUAACUAAGUUGCAAAUAAAAUACUAGAAUGGCUACAUCAACAAUGGCUCUCUCUUCUUCAACAAUGGUUGGGAAGGCAAUCAAGCUUUCCCCUUCCACUCCAGACCUUGUGAUGGGAAGAAUCACCAUGAGGAAAACAACCAACAAGAAGAACGUCCCUUCUGGAAGCCCGUGGUACGGUCCAGAUCGUGUCAAAUACUUGGGUCCAUUCUCUGGUGAAGCUCCAUCUUAUCUCACUGGUGAAUUUCCUGGUGACUAUGGUUGGGACACUGCUGGGCUUUCUGCUGACCCAGAGACAUUUGCCAAGAACCGUGAACUCGAGGUCAUCCACAGUAGAUGGGCUAUGUUAGGAGCUUUGGGAUGUGUCUUCCCCGAGCUCUUGUCUCGCAAUGGUGUGAAAUUCGGCGAGGCUGUGUGGUUCAAGGCAGGAUCUCAAAUCUUUAGUGAGGGAGGACUUGACUACUUGGGUAACCCAAGCCUAGUCCACGCACAAAGUAUCCUUGCUAUAUGGGCUGUCCAAGUUAUCUUAAUGGGAGCUGUUGAGGGUUACCGUAUUGCCGGUGGACCUCUUGGUGAGGUAGUCGACCCACUCUACCCAGGUGGAAGCUUUGACCCAUUGGGCCUCGCUGACGACCCAGAGGCUUUUGCAGAGUUAAAGGUGAAAGAACUUAAGAAUGGUAGGCUAGCUAUGUUCUCUAUGUUUGGAUUCUUCGUUCAGGCCAUUGUAACCGGAAAGGGACCUCUAGAGAACCUUGCCGACCAUAUCACUGACCCCGUCAACAACAACGCUUGGGCCUUUGCCACAAACUUUGUCCCCGGAAAGUGAGCAAAAACUUCAUAAAAACUAUGUUAAGUUACUAGCUCAUACAAGAGUGCGAAUUUCGUGUUAUUAAUUUAGUGAAAUAUUCGGUGCAUUUAGAUCUUUCUUCAAGUUUGUGCCAAUUUAGC
This 12460-nucleotide long non-coding RNA is filed under the name Medicago truncatula (barrel medic). Its description in RNAcentral is "long non-coding RNA (MTRU_LNC003825)". The record is from RNAcentral. Lineage: Eukaryota; Viridiplantae; Streptophyta; Magnoliopsida; Fabales; Fabaceae.